RNAcentral lists this transfer RNA (72 nucleotides) under Nothobranchius furzeri (turquoise killifish). RNAcentral's name for it is "tRNA-Cys (GCA) (tRNA-Cys-GCA-14-1)". It matches the Rfam family "tRNA". From Rfam's summary of the family: Transfer RNA (tRNA) molecules are approximately 80 nucleotides in length. Their secondary structure includes four short double-helical elements and three loops (D, anti-codon, and T loops). Lineage: Eukaryota; Metazoa; Chordata; Actinopteri; Cyprinodontiformes; Nothobranchiidae. The record is from Rfam by way of RNAcentral.
GGCGGUGUAGCUCAGUAGUAGAGCAUUUGACUGCAGAUCAAGAGGUCUCCAGUUCAAUUCUGGAUGCCCCCU